GUUAAACACCUUGGUAAGAAGAUUUGUGCUAAUUCCUGAAUAUGUCUUUUCAACGUAGUUUAUGAGAAUUAAACUCAGCUCUUAAUCCUGGAUUUUAGCGAAACCUUCCCUCUACUUAUCAAAGAAUACCAAAAGCUCAAUUGAUGGGACAAAGAGGAAAUUACUAUUAUUAUA
This is a long non-coding RNA of Lemur catta (Ring-tailed lemur), 174 nucleotides long. RefSeq lists it as uncharacterized. Lineage: Eukaryota; Metazoa; Chordata; Mammalia; Primates; Lemuridae. The record is from RefSeq and is a predicted model, not a curated record. The transcript has 3 exons.